UACAGAGGUCCCAAGCGUUGUUCGGAUUCACUGGGCGUAAAGGGUGCGUAGGCGGUCGGGUAAGUCUGACGUGAAAUCUUCAAGCUCAACUUGGAAACUGCGUCCGAUACUAUUCGGCUAGAGGAAUGGAGGGGAGACUGGAAUACUUGGUGUAGCAGUGAAAUGCGUAGAUAUCAAGUGGAACACCAGUGGCGAAGGCGAGUCUCUGGACAUUUCCUGGCGCUGAGGCACGAAAGCCAGGGGAGCAAACGGG
Molecule: ribosomal RNA, 253 nt
Filed under: uncultured bacterium
Lineage: Bacteria
Description: partial 16S ribosomal RNA
Rfam family: Bacterial small subunit ribosomal RNA
Source: RNAcentral